RNAcentral lists this transfer RNA (82 nucleotides) under Giardia muris. It matches the Rfam family "tRNA". Rfam says of the family: Transfer RNA (tRNA) molecules are approximately 80 nucleotides in length. Their secondary structure includes four short double-helical elements and three loops (D, anti-codon, and T loops). The record is from Rfam by way of RNAcentral. Lineage: Eukaryota; Fornicata; Diplomonadida; Hexamitidae.
GACAGUUUGGCCGAGUGGUUAAGGCGCGUGCCUGCUAAGCACGUGUGCUCUGCACGCGUGGGUUCGAAUCCCACAGCUGUCG